Molecule: ribosomal RNA, 251 nt
Filed under: uncultured bacterium
Lineage: Bacteria
Description: partial 16S ribosomal RNA
Rfam family: Bacterial small subunit ribosomal RNA
Source: RNAcentral
GCAAGUCGAGGGAGAAGUUAGGUGCUUGCACUUGAUGGGAACCGGCGAACGGGUGCGUAACACGUAUGCAACCUACCUAUAACUGGGGGAUAGCUCGAAGAAAUUCGGAUUAAUACAUUCUAAUAUUUAGUCAUCGCAUGAUGAUUAUCUUAAAACGCCGGUGGUUAUAGAUGAGCAUGCGGCCUAUUAGUUUGUUGGUGAGGUAAUGGUUCACCAAGACUACGAUAGGUAGGGGGUCUGAGAGGAUGAUC